This 65-nucleotide transfer RNA is filed under the name Methanobacteriota archaeon. RNAcentral's name for it is "tRNA-Arg". It matches the Rfam family "tRNA", at positions 7 to 64 of the family's 71-position model. Rfam says of the family: Transfer RNA (tRNA) molecules are approximately 80 nucleotides in length. Their secondary structure includes four short double-helical elements and three loops (D, anti-codon, and T loops). Lineage: Archaea; Methanobacteriati; Methanobacteriota. The record is from RNAcentral.
GUAGCCUAGUCUGGAUAUGGCGGCGGCCUCCUAAGCCGCAGGUCCGGGGUUCGAAUCCCCGCGGA